CUCGCUUUUCAUAACUUCCUGAGCAAACAAAAACACCAGGCGCUAAGCUGACGGUGCGGGCAGUAGUAUAUAGUCCAUAAAUGUGCAUUUAACUCUUGCGAGGAAUACUAAGAGGGAGGGGGAGCGACGGCUGCUUUGUGGAAGAACUGAGAAGGCGGCGCAAAGUGAAAACAUGGGCAGUGAGCCACCAUCCUCAGCACACUCAGGCAGAGGUUUACCCAGCGAGACGACGGAGUGCUUCAUAUGCAGGGAGGCUGAACUUCAAGCCCGUGACCCGCUGAGGCAUUUCUGCGACUGCAAGAAUUUACUUGCCCAUCACGUGUGUCUGUCCACGUGGAUCCUGAAGGGAUGCGAGAGCGGAAACCGGCUGCGCUGCAUUAUCUGCAAAGCCAAGGGCUCGCAGACUGCAUCAUUCUUUUUAGGGGGAUCAUUUCUUUCUCUUUCUCCGUUUCUUAUUGAUAUGAUGCCAAAAAUAUGCUCCCAGGGCUAUCAUUUUUCUGCGUCCGUUUGCAAAAGCGGAGGCCUAAGAGGAUUUAUCUUCGUGACCCAUCACACAAAGACAAUGAGCCGCAGAAUAGCGGCGUCCGACUGGGAGGACCGAGAGUGGGCGCACCCAGCCGUCCUCAGGCGUCCCUCUAAAGGCGGCCUCAUGUUACAGUACCAGCUGCAGAGGACCUCUCCAUGGCGCUCGGUGAGCUCCCAGUGGCAGACGUGGCUGAUGCUGAUCACCGGCUUGGCUUUAAUGGGUCUGGUACCUUAUGUAGUUCACUGCAUGAUGACUGCCUUCACCAGGCCUCCUCCGCCCACCACCUUCAAAGUGGCAGCCGCUGCUUAUGGUCUGCUGGCAGAGAUCCUGCUGAUCAAGUGUCUGUGCAGCUACCUCAGCGGCUGUUACCGGCGGGCGGAGCAAAGCGCGUUCACGAUCCGGGCCAGAGGCCCCGAGGAGCACGGGACGAGCCUGGCCUGCUGAAAGCGGUCCGAGGCCUCAGCAGAGGCAGGCCGCGCUUCACCGGAGGGGGAAAGUGGACGAAAGGAAAGAGGGGACGUCUCGGCUUCUUCUGGACCAGUAACCAGGAAACGGGUUGAGAGUAAAUCCUGUGGAUGGUACCCACGGACAACAGCUUCGCCGUGGCAGUCACGAGAUCGAACACUUUAAAACCUAUUUUAGAGGCAAACACAUUCACAUUCCAUCGGCUGAUGAACGAGCGAGCAGGACCGGUUGGCGUAGUGAGCGUUAUGAUUGAGAAGCCGAGUGAGCUGUGGACCCUCCGGGAGCGCAGAGAAAGCCCUCAUUUUCUGACAGCGCUUUAUUUUCUCCAGCAACCAAACAUCCCUUUUAAAAGGCCUUUUAUUCCAAGUGCAAUCAGCACUUUAAACAUUUCUUCUAGAUGUUAUUCGUCUGAUGUUCUUGUGUUUUGGUACGUCAGUUUCACUCUGUCAGCUCCCAACACCGUACCUCAUAGAGGUCACCGAUAUGCAGGUUUUUAUUUUGGGCGGUGGGACUAGUUUUGAAGAAUCUCAAUGUCUUUGUGCUUUUGGACUAUUUUCAGUUGUGAAUUAAUAGGCUUUUGGUGUUCUUAUUGAGUAUCAGGGGCAUCAGGAGAGCAUAUGAGGGAUUGACUAAUUACAAUCUGCAGUGCUUUUUUUUAUGGUAAGAAUCCACAUCCACUAGAAGAGUGGAUACAAAGAUAAACACACUAUUUAGGCCUUUUCGUGGGUUUGUUGAGUACAGCAGGCUUGUUAAAGGACACAUAUUCAUACUUUUGGAGAUCAGGGUCAAGACUUUUACCCUUUUCAUUAAAGGUCGACGCCUUCGAUUUCUCCUUGAGCCAAUUGUCCAUUGGAGUGCAAACACAAGCGAUCGGGCCACAUCUUCAAAACCCUUUGGUUAAUGGUCAUGUUUUUACUGCAUGCUUUCGGUUAUUGAGUUGUUCUGUGCAAAAUUAACGCUGAUAAAAAUAUCCUGAUGGAAUCAUCUGACUUCUUUGCCCCCAAGAGACAUAGAAAAGUGUUCUCCUCAAUGCAUAAUGUUAUCCUUCAAUGUACUGCAACAAAUGCUCCUCUAUAAAACAAUUGCAUGUAGAAUUAAAUAAAUGUCAGUAUGGAAAAACGGAGUCUGCCUCUCUAUCUGAUGUUUGCACUGAGUCAUCUUCUAUCUGUGUU
Gasterosteus aculeatus aculeatus (three-spined stickleback) is the source of this 2163-nucleotide long non-coding RNA. The record is from Ensembl. NCBI's taxonomy places the organism in Eukaryota, Metazoa, Chordata, Actinopteri, Perciformes, Gasterosteidae.